This 415-nucleotide unclassified non-coding RNA is filed under the name fungal sp. RNAcentral's name for it is "partial internal transcribed spacer region". The stretch from base 1 to 46 matches the Rfam family "Eukaryotic small subunit ribosomal RNA", at positions 1786 to 1831 of the family's 1831-position model. Lineage: Eukaryota; Fungi. The record is from RNAcentral.
AAGUCGUAACAAGGUUUCCGUAGGUGAACCUGCGGAAGGAUCAUUAACAAGUCACACUGCUGACAUUGCUUUUGUCAGCGGGGCUCUUCCGUGCCCCGUUGCCGGUCCUGGCCAGCGAUGACGCGUCCCCAACUUAAGUGCUGUUGCCGUCAAGUGCGGCAUUCCUGGCAUGGGGGACGAAGAGCUGGCUACAUCCGUUUCAACCAUACCUGUGAACCAAAAACAAAACCUUUGCUUCGGCAGCACGCAAACCGGCAGAGUACCUCUAAGGACGCUGUCGGUAGGGCGGUAAGGCUGCCAGAAGCCCACCAAUUCCAAACCAGUUGUUGCCAAAUUCUAUUACAAGUCUGAACUGAUAGACCAUUUCGUAUGGAAAAUCAUAUUAAAACUUUCAGCAACGGAUCUCUUGGUUCCC